Molecule: ribosomal RNA, 253 nt
Filed under: uncultured bacterium
Lineage: Bacteria
Description: partial 16S ribosomal RNA
Rfam family: Bacterial small subunit ribosomal RNA
Source: RNAcentral
UACGGAGGGCGCGAGCGUUAAUCGGAAUUACCGGGCGUAAAGCGCGCGUAGGCUGUUGUGUAAGUUGGGGGUGAAAUCCCACGGCUCAACCGUGGAACAGCCCUUGAUACUGCGCGACUUGAGUCCGGGAGAGGGUGGCGGAAUUCCAGGUGUAGGAGUGAAAUCCGUAGAUAUCUGGAGGAACAUCAGUGGCGAAGGCGGCCACCUGGACCGGUAUUGACGCUGAGGCGCGAAAGCGUGGGGAGCAAACAGG